This 27-nucleotide non-coding RNA is filed under the name Drosophila melanogaster (fruit fly). The record is from RNAcentral. Lineage: Eukaryota; Metazoa; Arthropoda; Insecta; Diptera; Drosophilidae. RNAcentral also lists the same sequence under 5 other names.
GCAUAAUUUGUGGUAGUGGGGGACUGC